UACGGGGGGAGCAAGCGUUGUUCGGAUUUACUGGGCGUAAAGGGCGCGUAGGCGGUCAGCACAAGUCAGUUGUGAAAUCUCCGGGCUUAACUCGGAAAGGUCAACUGAUACUGUGCGACUAGAGUGCGGAGGGGGCAACUGGAAUUCUCGGUGUAGCGGUGAAAUGCGUAGAUAUCGAGAGGAACACCUGCGGCGAAGGCGGGUUGCUGGGCCGACACUGACGCUGAUGCGCGAAAGCCAGGGGAGCGAACGGG
Molecule: ribosomal RNA, 254 nt
Filed under: uncultured bacterium
Lineage: Bacteria
Description: partial 16S ribosomal RNA
Rfam family: Bacterial small subunit ribosomal RNA
Source: RNAcentral